ACAACAUUCGGACCGCCGGUCUACCGAGCAAUAUCACCCGCUCGGUGGAAGAUCUUCCCUCCGUCGU
Molecule: microRNA precursor, 67 nt
Filed under: Bombyx mori (domestic silkworm)
Lineage: Eukaryota; Metazoa; Arthropoda; Insecta; Lepidoptera; Bombycidae
Description: mir-2774 microRNA precursor family
Rfam family: mir-2774 microRNA precursor family
Source: Rfam by way of RNAcentral